UACAGAGGGUGCGAGCGUUAAUCGGAAUUACUGGGCGUAAAGCGCACGUAGUCGGCUUUGCAAGUCGGGUGUGAAAUCCCCGGGCUCAACCUGGAAACUGCAUCCGAGACUGCAUUGCUAGAGUAUGGGAGAGGGAAGCGGAAUUUCUGGUGUAGCAGUGAAAUGCGUAGAUAUCAGAAGGAACAUCAGUGGCGAAGGCGGCUUCCUGGACCAAUACUGACGAUCAGGUGCGAAAGCGUGGGGAGCAAACAGG
Molecule: ribosomal RNA, 253 nt
Filed under: uncultured bacterium
Lineage: Bacteria
Description: partial 16S ribosomal RNA
Rfam family: Bacterial small subunit ribosomal RNA
Source: RNAcentral